This 595-nucleotide long non-coding RNA is filed under the name Meleagris gallopavo (turkey). RNAcentral describes it as "lncRNA (ENSMGAG00000017765.1)". The record is from RNAcentral. Lineage: Eukaryota; Metazoa; Chordata; Aves; Galliformes; Phasianidae.
UGGUAAAACAUAAUAUUUUUUUUAUAUCCAUCGUAGCUACUAAAUAAAGCUAUUUUCAGAUAAUUUAGAAGCAGAAGAACCUCCUACUGAACUGAAAUAAUAAUGAAGCACAUUGAAUAAACACCACACACUCAUAAUGGCCAGCUCUUGAACAAGUCAUAAUUUGUUCACAGAAUGAAAUGGAAAGAGAUAAAUGAACUACUGUAUAAAAUGAAGGUAAUUAUAGAAAAUUUGACCUAGAAAGAAACUGAAAAGGCAGAGAAAAAAAGACAUUUCUCAUAUGUAUUAUUUGUUCUGAAUAACAGAUGGAAUUAAGAAGAAAAAUCAGGCCAAAGAGGGACACAGUAUUCGAGGAGUCUGCUGCUCAACAUUUCCCUUUAGAUAUUACACUGUUUUAAAAAUAAGGCAUCUUCAGAUCAGUGAGCUAUGCACUGCUCCGCAAAAGUAUGCGGAUAGAGGCAGCCAAGCAUCUCUUACCUGAGGACCAAAAAGGUGUCAAGAAUGACUGAUAAAGGAGGUGACAACAAGAAGUCCCUACAAGAAAGAGAACCAAGACUUUGUGAAGGUAGAUCCCUCUGGGACUGGCCAACACCCA